Molecule: ribosomal RNA, 465 nt
Filed under: uncultured bacterium
Lineage: Bacteria
Description: partial 16S ribosomal RNA
Rfam family: Bacterial small subunit ribosomal RNA
Source: RNAcentral
CCUACGGGAGGCAGCAGUAGGGAAUCUUCCACAAUGGGCGAAAGCCUGAUGGAGCAACGCCGCGUGGGUGAAGAAGGUCUUCGGAUCGUAAAACCCUGUUGUUAGAGAAGAAAGUGCGUGAGAGUAACUGUUCACGUUUCGACGGUAUCUAACCAGACAGCCACGGCUAACUACGUGCCAGCAGCCGCGGUAAUACGUAGGUGGCAAGCGUUAUCCGGAUUUAUUGGGCGUAAGGGGAACGCAGGCGGUCUUUUAAGUCUGAUGUGAAAGCCUUCGGCUUAACCGGAGUAGGGCAUUGGAAACUGGGAGACUUGAGUGCAGAAGAGGAGAGUGGAACUCCAGGUGUAGCGGUGAAAUGCGUAGAUAUAUGGAAGAACACCAGUGGCGAAGGCGGCUCUCUGGGCUGUAACUGACACUGAGGCUCGAAAGUGUGGGUAUCAAACAGGAUUAGAUACCCGAGUAGUC